UGUAUGUGUGGGCAGAUUAGAGGUGGUAGAUGUUAGCCAGUUGGGCGAUUUUAUUUGCCCAUUGCUGGGUCAGGGUUAGAUUUUAUACGUCUAGACUCUAGACGGGAGACUUUGGCCCUAUCUAAUCAGAGUUGCCCUUAACAACCUGACGUGUCUUGCCGACGUGUUUGAUAUUGUAUAGUAUCUGUCCGAAUCUCUAUCCAAUCACAUGUGAAGCACCUGCUAAUUACGGCUUUAUCAGACAAGCGGUUAUUACAAAACUGGACAGUUGCGUACUUCGAACAAUGGAUGGGGCCAUUACCCAGUUAAACACGUGAACCUAUGGUCGAGCAACAGCUUACAAAUCAUACGAUGCUUAGGGGAAAUGAGCUCGAAAAAGGCGAUUAGAUGUCGGUCAGUGGCGUCAGCAAGGGGGUUCUCAUAAAGGGCUCCUUACAAUGAUACAUAACUCAUUGAUCACAACAUAUGUAUACAUAUUUACAUAUGUACAUUACUUUUCAAUUUGCUUGUAUUUAUGAGUUUUGUGUCAAUGCACAGUUCAAAAUGUUUAUAUACAUACAUAUUGCAUGUAUUAUAAAUACUCGUUUACGUUAAGGGAAGGCAAUAAAAAGACACAACUUAAAAUUGUGUACAUAUGUAUUUAUACCCCGCCAGAAGGAAGUCCCAUAGUAUAUGUACAUACAUAUGUACAGUCCCUUCUUCAAAUUUGUUCUACAGACGCCUCUUAUUUUUAACAGAUUAAGUGGAAAGCAGAAUUUCGCGUUCACACACACAAAUGUACAUGUGUUUGUAAAGCAAGAACAGUUGAUCACACGCCAAAGCUUUUAACAUGGCGAAAGAAGAAAGGGCCAGAGACAGUGAGAGAGGGGGAGAGAAAAACCUAAUGCCGCGAGCAUGUCAACAAAACAGCUGACUGUUUUUGGAGCCGGUAAAACCGGUAAAAACCGACCACAGGCCACCAACAGACAGCAAACAUGGGAAUGCAAAGUCAACAAACAUUGACCAUUUAUCAGAGAAAGCGUGGGAGCUUACACGAGAGCGAAAAAGAGCGGCAGUAAGCUCAAAGAGCAAGAUGAAGCGAGAGUAGUUUUCCUUUUGUUAUUGUUGCGGGCCGUUAUCACGUUGCAAGAGCGUGAUGCUUCAGUUAGAUAUUGAACGCAGAAAAAAAUAGUGCGCGUUCUUAAGUUCAGAUAAAGAGCUGACAAUAGACAAAACUAAUGAAACUUUUCUAUUUCGAAUUAUAGUUAUGGAAGUUCGAAUAUAAAUAAACGACUACAUUAUGUUGUAAUAAUACUUAAUAAGUUAGUAUUUUUGUUGACAAUCAAGUAAUCACAUGCUAUCAUAUGAUGCAAUUGAAAUAAAAAUGGUAAUGUAAUGCAUAAUACACAAUGGUAAAUAAAUGUAGCUACCUUACG
Molecule: long non-coding RNA, 1415 nt
Organism: Drosophila erecta
Lineage: Eukaryota; Metazoa; Arthropoda; Insecta; Diptera; Drosophilidae
Exons: 2
Source: RefSeq, a predicted model, not a curated record